This 258-nucleotide ribosomal RNA is filed under the name uncultured bacterium. Its description in RNAcentral is "partial 16S ribosomal RNA". It matches the Rfam family "Bacterial small subunit ribosomal RNA", at positions 1292 to 1533 of the family's 1533-position model. The record is from RNAcentral.
UUCGGAUCGGGGUCUGCAACUCGACCCCGUGAAGUCGGAGUCGCUAGUAAUCGCAGAUCAGCAACGCUGCGGUGAAUACGUUCCCGGGCCUUGUACACACCGCCCGUCACGUCACGAAAGUUGGUAACACCCGAAGCCCAUGGCCUAACCCACUUGUUGGGGGGGAGUGGUCGAAGGUGGGACCGGCGAUUGGGACGAAGUCGUAACAAGGUAGCCGUACCGGAAGGUGCGGCUGGAUCACCUCCUUUCUAAGGAGCU